RNAcentral lists this unclassified non-coding RNA (188 nucleotides) under uncultured Ascomycota. RNAcentral's name for it is "sequence contains ITS2". The record is from RNAcentral. Lineage: Eukaryota; Fungi; Ascomycota.
UAACCCUCCGAGCGAUAUUUAUUUUAUUGCCGGGCCUUUGGCGAGGGGAGGCAAACCCGGGCGCCUAGGCGCCCGCGGUUUUCCCCCGCUUAAACCUGAAGCUAGCCGGGAGAGCCCAACCGCAACGACUUGUAAAAUUUUAUCUGUCGCGGCGGCCUUUGGGAAGUUCCCCGGCCCUAACCUUUGAC